ACAAGGGUUUAAUCAUCUUCAGAAUAGUUCGGAAGGUGCAGGUAGAGCAACUAAUGGAAGAUGGUCUUUGGAUUGAGCGAUGAAAAUCAGCAAACUCACCAUUACCCAAAAUUUCCUUGAUGGAUGACAAAGGAAUCAACGUGUUCCGAACCCACCAUUUCUGAUCUUAGAAAUGUACAUUCUCUAUGCUGUACGAUCUUAAGAUUUUAUCUAAGCACUGAACAGAAGUGUUAUGUGUGUGUCUUUGUGUUAUUCAGAAGGUAGGUUUUCAGAUGCUUUGAGAAACUUGGCUCGCCCGUUUCACUCUCCAUUAGAUGCCAGAGGCCAAGAAGUUCUGCAAUCAGUGCUUAAGUGAUCGAAACAAGAUCGAGAGAUUUGGAAUCGGUUUCAGUGAGGUUAUGGGUCAUUUUCAUAAGCUGAGGGGUGUUUCUAGUCAGACAUACAGGCUUGCCUUUUGGCUUUCUAUGCAUAAGGAGUUCCAAAAUUUCUCUUUGGAAGAUGCAUAUGCUAACUAUGGCAUUCAACCCUUAGAUCCCCUGCUACUGAUUUCAACAUAUUUCAAUCAUCUGUCUCACCAGAGUUUCUUACCUUCUGUUUCAUUUCUAAAAUUGGCAAGCUUGCUUGAUCUUCAAUAGACAUGGUUGAUGAAGAUUCAGUGCAAGACUCUGUAACAAAGAUAAGGUCUCAGUAUUAUCAGUACAAGCUCUGCU
Molecule: long non-coding RNA, 710 nt
Organism: Populus trichocarpa (black cottonwood)
Lineage: Eukaryota; Viridiplantae; Streptophyta; Magnoliopsida; Malpighiales; Salicaceae
Exons: 4
Source: RefSeq, a predicted model, not a curated record